UUCACAAGGGUUGGAGUUUGGAAUUGCAGAAAGGAGACUUGAUCUCAAAAUAAAAAUGAGAAAAGGAAAACAAAAUCACAUUAGAAGGAUGUUCUUCUCUUAUGUUGUAUGUUCUUCUCAACAAUAGCUAUGAACUUCAGCCAUCAAUGCCUUUAAUUUUGUCUUCCACCUCUGAAUAGUGAAUGCAAUUUCCUGAGCAAAAUCACAUAGUUUUGCUCUGCUGGUUCAUCUAUUAUUAAUUCAGCAGCCAUCUUCA
Molecule: long non-coding RNA, 256 nt
Filed under: Glycine max (soybean)
Lineage: Eukaryota; Viridiplantae; Streptophyta; Magnoliopsida; Fabales; Fabaceae
Description: long non-coding RNA (GMAX_LNC001338)
Source: RNAcentral